RNAcentral lists this transfer RNA (96 nucleotides) under Methylobacterium sp. OTU13CASTA1. RNAcentral describes it as "tRNA-Met". The record is from RNAcentral. Lineage: Bacteria; Pseudomonadati; Pseudomonadota; Alphaproteobacteria; Hyphomicrobiales; Methylobacteriaceae.
GGCGGGGUCGUCAGGGCCUGAAAACGGGGGCGGAGUGCCUAGACACUUGGAAUCAUAAUCCUUGUGUCGGGAGUUCAAAUCUCUCCCUCGCUACCA